GUUCGAGAUGUUGCUGAAUCUUGCAGAACCGGGGCUUCUACUAAUGUUAUCUUUGGGCUUGCUUUGGGAUACCAAUCUGUCAUAAUUCCCAUUUUUGCUAUUGCCAUCGGCAUCUUUGUUAGCUUUAGUCUUGCUGCAAUGUAUGGUGUUGCAGUUGCAGCCCUAGGCAUGUUGAGUACUAUUGCUACUGGUCUGGCCAUUGAUGCCUAUGGCCCCAUCAGUGACAAUGCCGGAGGCAUUGCAGAGAUGGCAGGGAUGAGCCACCGGAUACGUGAGAGAACUGAUGCUCUGGAUGCUGCAGGCAACACCACUGCUGCCAUCGGAAAGGGUUUUGC
This 335-nucleotide unclassified non-coding RNA is filed under the name Hevea brasiliensis (rubber tree). Lineage: Eukaryota; Viridiplantae; Streptophyta; Magnoliopsida; Malpighiales; Euphorbiaceae. The record is from RNAcentral.